This 1450-nucleotide ribosomal RNA is filed under the name uncultured organism. RNAcentral describes it as "partial small subunit ribosomal RNA". It matches the Rfam family "Bacterial small subunit ribosomal RNA". The record is from RNAcentral.
GACGAACGCUUGCGGCGUGCUUAACACAUGCAAGUCGAACGGAAAGGCCCUGCUUUUGUGGGGUGCUCGAGUGGCGAACGGGUGAGUAACACGUGAGUAACCUGCCCUUGACUUUGGGAUAACUUCAGGAAACUGGGGCUAAUACCGGAUAGGAGCUCCUGCUGCAUGGUGGGGGUUGGAAAGUUUCGGCGGUUGGGGAUGGGCUCGCGGCUUAUCAGCUUGUUGGUGGGGUAGUGGCUUACCAAGGCUUUGACGGGUAGCCGGCCUGAGAGGGUGACCGGCCACAUUGGGACUGAGAUACGGCCCAGACUCCUACGGGAGGCAGCAGUGGGGAAUAUUGCACAAUGGGCGGAAGCCUGAUGCAGCAACGCCGCGUGCGGGAUGACGGCCUUCGGGUUGUAAACCGCUUUCGCCUGUGACGAAGCGUGAGUGACGGUAAUGGGUAAAGAAGCACCGGCUAACUACGUGCCAGCAGCCGCGGUGAUACGUAGGGUGCGAGCGUUGUCCGGAUUUAUUGGGCGUAAAGGGCUCGUAGGUGGUUGAUCGCGUCGGAAGUGUAAUCUUGGGGCUUAACCCUGAGCGUGCUUUCGAUACGGGUUGACUUGAGGAAGGUAGGGGAGAAUGGAAUUCCUGGUGGAGCGGUGGAAUGCGCAGAUAUCAGGAGGAACACCAGUGGCGAAGGCGGUUCUCUGGGCCUUUCCUGACGCUGAGGAGCGAAAGCGUGGGGAGCGAACAGGCUUAGAUACCCUGGUAGUCCACGCUGUAAACGGUGGGUACUAGGUGUGGGGUCCAUUCCACGGGUUCCGUGCCGUAGCUAACGCUUUAAGUACCCCGCCUGGGGAGUACGGCCGCAAGGCUAAAACUCAAAGGAAUUGACGGGGCCCCGCACAAGCGGCGGAGCAUGCGGAUUAAUUCGAUGCAACGCGUAGAACCUUACCUGGGUUUGACAUGGAUCGGGAGUGCUCAGAGAUGGGUGUGCCUCUUUUGGGGUCGGUUCACAGGUGGUGCAUGGCUGUCGUCAGCUCGUGUCGUGAGAUGUUGGGUUAAGUCCCGCAACGAGCGCAACCCUUGUUCACUGUUGCCAGCACGUUAUGGUGGGGACUCAGUGGAGACCGCCGGGGUCAACUCGGAGGAAGGUGGGGAUGACGUCAAGUCAUCAUGCCCCUUAUGUCCAGGGCUUCACGCAUGCUACAAUGGCUGGUACAGAGAGUGGCGAGCCUGUGAGGGUGAGCGAAUCUCGGAAAGCCGGUCUCAGUUCGGAUUGGGGUCUGCAACUCGACCUCAUGAAGUCGGAGUCGCUAGUAAUCGCAGAUCAGCAACGCUGCGGUGAAUACGUCCCCGGGGCUUGUACACACCGCCCGUCAAGUCAUGAAAGUUGGUAACACCCGAAGCCGGUGGCCUAACCGUUGUGGGGGAGCCGUCGAAGGUGGGACUGGUGAUUAGGACUAAA